AAAGCAGUGAAACAGUUUGCCUCCCUGAGUUGUGUGCGCUCCAUUGUGGAGAUUUUCAAGAAAACAUUGGACAAUCAUUUGUUGGUAGAAGGAACCCUGCUUUUGGAGUUGGACUAGGAGACCCUUCAACCUGAGGAUUCCAAUUCCCUCUGUGCUUUGUGCCACAACAAUGAUCGCACUUCUUUUGAACAGACAGCUUCCUACAUGAAAGGCAGAGGCCAAAGGCCACCAACAGUCAGCCGCUGGGUUGCCCUGUCAUUUCUAUUCCAAAAUGAUCUGCUCUCCUUGUGUAGGUUCAAAAUAUAGUCAUUAUUUCCCCAGUUGCCAAGGGAAUGAGGUUGUGAGUUUGCCUUUAAAACCACCAGCCAGUGCACAGCUGCCCAUUCUUGCUUCAUGAAAUGACAACACCUAGCGUGGCUAUGGCAGCAUGAAGGCUUUUCAGAUUAAGUGUGGCCAUCUCAGAUGCCAAGAAACUGGUAGUAGGGGAGAAAGUCAUGCUUCCCAACUCUUCUGACUGGCUCACGUUUAUUUCUCUUCUCUUCUCAGAAAUCUCUCAGGUGUUCCUUUUCUGUUGUAUGAACACAACGUAG
This is a non-coding RNA of Pseudonaja textilis, 590 nucleotides long. The record is from RefSeq and is a predicted model, not a curated record. NCBI's taxonomy places the organism in Eukaryota, Metazoa, Chordata, Lepidosauria, Squamata, Elapidae.